GACGAACGCUGGCGGCGUGCCUAAUACAUGCAAGUUGAGCGCUGAAGGUUGGUACUUGUACCAACUGGAUGAGCAGCGAACGGGUGAGUAACGCGUGGGGAAUCUGCCUUUGAGCGGGGGACAACAUUUGGAAACGAAUGCUAAUACCGCAUAAAAACUUUAAACACAAGUUUUAAGUUUGAAAGAUGCAAUUGCAUCACUCAAAGAUGAUCCCGCGUUGUAUUAGCUAGUUGGUGAGGUAAAGGCUCACCAAGGCGAUGAUACAUAGCCGACCUGAGAGGGUGAUCGGCCACAUUGGGACUGAGACACGGCCCAAACUCCUACGGGAGGCAGCAGUAGGGAAUCUUCGGCAAUGGACGAAAGUCUGACCGAGCAACGCCGCGUGAGUGAAGAAGGUUUUUCGGAUCGUAAAAACUCUGUUGGUAGAGAAAGAA
RNAcentral lists this ribosomal RNA (434 nucleotides) under Lactococcus lactis. RNAcentral describes it as "bacterial SSU rRNA". It matches the Rfam family "Bacterial small subunit ribosomal RNA", at positions 28 to 450 of the family's 1533-position model. Lineage: Bacteria; Bacillati; Bacillota; Bacilli; Lactobacillales; Streptococcaceae. The record is from RNAcentral.